AUUGAACGCUGGCGGAAUGCUUUACACAUGCAAGUCGAACGGCAGCACGGGUGCUUGCACCUGGUGGCGAGUGGCGAACGGGUGAGUAAUAUAUCGGAACGUAUCCAAUAAUGGGGGAUAACUAGCCGAAAGGUUAGCUAAUACCGCAUACGCCCUGAGGGGGAAAGCUGGGGAUCGUAAGACCUAGCGUUGAUGGAGCGGCCGAUAUCUGAUUAGCUAGUUGGUGGGGUAAGAGCCUACCAAGGCGACGAUCAGUAGCUGGUCUGAGAGGACGACCAGCCACACUGGAACUGAGACACGGUCCAGACUCCUACGGGAGGCAGCAGUGGGGAAUUUUGGACAAUGGGGGCAACCCUGAUCCAGCCAUUCCGCGUGAGUGAAGAAGGCCUUCGGGUUGUAAAGCUCUUUCGCAAGGGAAGAAAACUCGAUCUCUAAUAUAGGUUGAGGCUGACGGUACCUUGAUAAGAAGCACCGGCUAACUACGUGCCAGCAGCCGCGGUAAUACGUAGGGUGCGAGCGUUAAUCGGAAUUACUGGGCGUAAAGCGUGCGCAGGCGGUUUUGAAAGUCAGAUGUGAAAUCCCCGGGCUCAACCUGGGAACUGCGUUUGAAACUCCAAAGCUAGAGUAUGGGAGAGGGAGGUAGAAUUCCACGUGUAGCAGUGAAAUGCGUAGAGAUGUGGAGGAAUACCAAUGGCGAAGGCAGCCUCCUGGGCCUAAUAC
This 720-nucleotide ribosomal RNA is filed under the name uncultured bacterium. RNAcentral describes it as "bacterial SSU rRNA". It matches the Rfam family "Bacterial small subunit ribosomal RNA", at positions 28 to 740 of the family's 1533-position model. The record is from RNAcentral.